This 819-nucleotide ribosomal RNA is filed under the name uncultured Actinomycetes bacterium. RNAcentral's name for it is "bacterial SSU rRNA". It matches the Rfam family "Bacterial small subunit ribosomal RNA", at positions 335 to 1167 of the family's 1533-position model. Lineage: Bacteria; Bacillati; Actinomycetota; Actinomycetes. The record is from RNAcentral.
ACUCCUACGGGAGGCAGCAGUGGGGAAUAUUGCGCAAUGGGCGGAAGCCUGACGCAGCGACGCCGCGUGAGGGAUGAAGGCCUUCGGGUCGUAAACCUCUUUCAGCAGGGAAGAAGCGAGAGUGACGGUACCUGCAGAAGAAGCACCGGCUAACUACGUGCCAGCAGCCGCGGUAAUACGUAGGGUGCAAGCGUUGUCCGGAAUUAUUGGGCGUAAAGAGCUCGUAGGCGGUCUGUCGCGUCUGCUGUGAAAACUCAGGGCUUAACCCUGAGCUUGCAGUGGGUACGGGCAGACUAGAGUGCGGUAGGGGAGACUGGAAUUCCUGGUGUAGCGGUGAAAUGCGCAGAUAUCAGGAGGAACACCGGUGGCGAAGGCGGGUCUCUGGGCCGUAACUGACGCUGAGGAGCGAAAGCAUGGGGAGCGAACAGGAUUAGAUACCCUGGUAGUCCAUGCCGUAAACGUUGGGCGCUAGGUGUGGGGACCUUUCCAUGGUUUCCGUGCCGCAGCUAACGCAUUAAGCGCCCCGCCUGGGGAGUACGGCCGCAAGGCUAAAACUCAAAGGAAUUGACGGGGGCCCGCACAAGCGGCGGAGCAUGCGGAUUAAUUCGAUGCAACGCGAAGAACCUUACCAAGGCUUGACAUGGGGUGAAAACUCGCAGAGAUGCGGGGUCCGUAAGGGCGCCUCACAGGUGGUGCAUGGUUGUCGUCAGCUCGUGUCGUGAGAUGUUGGGUUAAGUCCCGCAACGAGCGCAACCCUCGUUCCAUGUUGCCAGCGCGUUAUGGCGGGGACUCAUGGGAGACUGCCGGGGUCAACUCGGA